UAUUAUUAACGCUUUGGAAUUUCCUAGAGAUGAAAGACUUUACUGAACACUAAGAUUCUCACUUUCAUCUUCUCUAGAAUCUACAGAUACACCCUGCAGUCGGGGACUUCAUGCUCAACCAGACUCUGGACAUAAUCACCGCUCAUUUCCCAGAAUUCUCAAAUGCCGACUGGAAUGACUGGUUUUGUAUUAAGCUGGUUCCUCUCUUUCCCAGUCUAACUCCAGAGACCUUAAAAAACAUAUUAGUAAACGUCAACUGCACUCUUUACAAAAUAAUGUGAGUAUGUGUUUUUUUACACAGUUUCCAGCACUUUUUUCAAAUUCCUUCCCAUUUAUUUCCAUUGCUUUGCGAAUAAUGACUGGUGUAACUGGGAUUUUACUCUUCCACCACAGUGUUAAAGGACUGAACCUGGGAUUUGAGGAAAUGUCUUUAAGCUUAAGGCAAGAAAUCACCCCUCCUUUGGUGAAUUACCUGAAGCAGACUCAGAAACUCAAAGGUUCAGUCAGACCUUGUGGUCCUAAUAUUUCGCUGGACUGGACUUUGGAAAAUCUUGGCAAUUUCUCCUGG
Molecule: long non-coding RNA, 568 nt
Filed under: Astyanax mexicanus (Mexican tetra)
Lineage: Eukaryota; Metazoa; Chordata; Actinopteri; Characiformes; Acestrorhamphidae
Description: lncRNA (ENSAMXG00005011759.1)
Source: RNAcentral